GACGAACGCUGGCGGCGUGCUUAACACAUGCAAGUCGAACGGUAAGGCCCUUCGGGGUACACGAGUGGCGAACGGGUGAGUAACACGUGGGUGAUCUGCCCUGCACUUCGGGAUAAGCCUGGGAACCUGGGUCUAAUACCGGAUAGGACCACUGCCUGCAUGGGUGGUGGUGGAAAGCUUUUGCGGUGUGGGAUGGGCCCGCGGCCUAUCAGCUUGUUGGUGGGGUGAUGGCCUACCAAGGCGACGACGGGUAGCCGGCCUGAGAGGGGGACCGGCCACACUGGGACUGAGAUACGGCCCAGAUUCCUACGGGAGGCAGCAGUGGGGAAUAUUGCACAAUGGGCGCAAGCCUGAUGCAGCGACGCCGCGUGAGGGAUGACGGCCUUCGGGUUGUAAACCUCUUUCAGCACCGACGAAGCGCAAGUGACGGUAGGUGCAGAAGAAGGACCGGCCAACUACGUGCCAGCCGCCGCCGUAA
Molecule: ribosomal RNA, 478 nt
Filed under: uncultured bacterium
Lineage: Bacteria
Description: partial 16S ribosomal RNA
Rfam family: Bacterial small subunit ribosomal RNA
Source: RNAcentral